AUGGGCAGCUGUUUUCCUUUUGCCUACUAGCUAACGCUGAGGAGGCGGGGCCGGGCUGGAGGCCCAAAGUGCGCCUGACCUGAUGUUUUGGCUCCUUAGUGCCAGGGCCUGGAAUGGCAGGGAGGGGAGUUUGGAGCUCUGCGGAGGCAGCCCAGAAGGUGGGGUGCCGGAAGCAGGCCCUCCUCUGGGACGCUGAGGAAACCGUAAAGAUUCUUUAUUUUAAAAAAACGAAAAAGAAAAACUAAGAAUGUAAAAUAGUGUAGCUACUUUGGGAAGAAAUUUGGCAGUUCCUCAGAAUAUUGGCCACGCCCAUACCCAAGGGAAAUUAAAACGAAUGACUACACAAAAACUUCUACAUAAAUGUUCUUUCCUAGCAGCAUUAUUCAUAAUAGUCAAAAAGUGGAAACAAUGUAGAUGUCUAUUACUGAAUGAAUGGAUAAACCAGUGUGGACUAUACAAAUAAAGAAAUACUGGCCCAGGGGCGGUGGGUCACGCCUGUAAUCCCAGCACUUUGGGAGGCCAAGGCGGGAGGAUUGCUUUAACCCAAGAGUUCGAGACCAGCCUGGGCAACAUAGCAAAACCUGUCUCUACCAAAAAAUACAAACAUUAGUCGGAUGUGGUAGCACAUGCCUGUAAUCCCAGUUACUGGGAAGACUGAAAUGAGAGAAUAACUUGGGCCUGGGAGGCAGAGGCUGCAAUGAGCGGAGAUUGUGCCACUGCACUCCAGCCUGGGCGAUACAACCAGACACAGACAAAAAAAAAAAGAAAAGAAGAAGAAGAAAGAAGGAAGAAGAAUGAAGAAAGAAGGAAGAAGAACAAAGGAGGAGAAGGAAGAAGGAGAAGGAGAAGAACAAGGAAGAAGAAAGAACAAGAAAGAAGGAAGAAAAAGAAAGAAGGAAGGAAGAGGAAGAAGAAAGAAGAAGGAAGAAGAAGACCCAUGUAGUGAGGCCCAAAUACGUGCUUGUAACCUUCCUGCCCAUGGCUUCCAGAGGACAAGAUCAUACCUUCUCUUCAUGGUCACCGCCUCCUCCCCCUAUGCUGUAAGGUCUCUGAGGUGAGGUGGAAGGUGUAGGCUGAUUACACCUGCCCAAUUUGCUGCCAUACAGUUGGGUCCCUGCCCACUCCCCAGUGUGCCUCCACCACGUCCUGCCCCUUCCCAGCCCUCCACUCAUUCAUGCUUUUCUCCCUUGUUCCUACUCCUAAAUCCACUCGUUGCCACUGACACGGUGCUAGGCAGCUCUUCCCAACCCCCUUUACUCUGCUACCCUUUAGGCAUGAGAAGAGCUACCUCUGCAGUUUCGCAGGUCACCGCCGGGCAGCUCAGUCCCCGGCCAAAGUGCUAAGGUGCACGGCAAGGCUGUUCUCCUGUUUCCACAGGUGCCACCGGGAGCUGGUUUGCUGUGAGGCAGGCUUGUGAUGGAAUUAGAUCUUUUCAGC
This 1437-nucleotide long non-coding RNA is filed under the name Macaca mulatta (Rhesus monkey). Its description in RNAcentral is "lncRNA (ENSMMUG00000064742.1)". Lineage: Eukaryota; Metazoa; Chordata; Mammalia; Primates; Cercopithecidae. The record is from RNAcentral.